RNAcentral lists this unclassified non-coding RNA (8452 nucleotides) under Hermetia illucens (black soldier fly). RNAcentral describes it as "dual specificity protein phosphatase 15, transcript variant X6". Lineage: Eukaryota; Metazoa; Arthropoda; Insecta; Diptera; Stratiomyidae. The record is from RNAcentral.
CAGCUGUUUGGUAUGGGUUUAGUGUCAUUUCUAUUAUUUUCCCAGAGUUUUGCGAAAUAUCUUAAAUUAUAGACGUUGUGGGGGUGUCGAGAUAUUAGAUGGCAUUUAGUGAAGAUGUCAGUUCUAAGUAGUAAAGCAAGGGCCUGUCACAAAACUCCAAUAUUUCACCUCCUCCGAUAUAGGAGCCAUGAACUGGAAUAUGUGUAAAGUCUUGCCAGGACUAUAUGUUGGCAACUAUCGCGAUUCGAAAGACCACCAACAGCUGGAUCGUUACAACAUCACCCACAUCAUUGCGAUUCAUGACAGCCCCAGGCGUCUGUUGCCAGACAAACACUAUCUGUGCGUGAUGGCUGCUGACACGCCCGACCAGAACCUCUCGCAAUACUUCUCAGUUUGUAACGAUUUCAUUCACGCCGCCCGACUCCGGGACGGGAACGUUCUAAUCCACUGCCUGGCGGGAAUGUCGCGCUCAGUUACGGUGGCUGUUGCUUACAUUAUGACCUGCUCGAAUCUGAACUGGAAGGAAGCACUGAAGGUGGUGCGAGCCGGUCGUGCCGUGGCCAACCCGAAUUUAGGAUUUCAGACUCAAUUGCAGGACUUUGAGAUGAAUCGACUGGCGGAGGAGCGACGGCGACUACGCGAACGCUUCCCAAGCGUAGCGCUCGAGCAAAUGGAUCGGGACCAAUGCACGACGGCUCUGUGCAGUUACGAGGAGCAACUACUGAACAAGGACAUUUGCGAAGGGAAUUGCUCGCGAACGGAGAAGUGUCCAACAGGAUUAUGCAAUACGGACAAUGCAAAAGGUAUUUUUCGACGAAAGACCAGUUCAGCUUCAAUGGGCCGUAGUCGGCUAACCCCUAUUCCGGACGGUGCUCAAUCAUGUCCUACUUCGCCAAAGUACUCACAUCGGCAGCGUAGUCAACGUGACCGGGAUCGAGGUGAUCAGCCUCGGGAUCGAGAUCGAGAUAGGGACCGAGAGCGAGAUCGUAAAGAUCGCAAUGUAGAGCGAAGUCAAACUGAAGGAGGUCCCGGAACCUCGAGAACUUCAAACGGUUUGACGAGGAGUGCAAGUACAAUAAGCAAUAUAAGGCCGCGAAGUAGCCCAGCUGGAUUAUAUUCCUAUACAGGUAAGGAUGAAGGAUCAGCACCAACAUCCGUCCAUGGUUCACGUGUGGAUCUUGCAACACCCGAUAAAGGUUCCGCUAUCUACAUAGGAUGUGCACCUCCGAAGAAUGAGAUCUAUGGCUCGACGAAAUCUAUAGUAUCAGCGCGGGUGGGAUCAUCUAGUGCAUCGACACCGCUACAGACACCAACAAACACCCCACCGGUUAGUCCUAGCAAGCAAGCAAUCAAAAGGUCAAGCAGUGUCGUUAAAAAGAAAUGAAAACUAGAGUUUGCAUCCUGUGUGCUUGCUCACUAUAGCAGAGAUGUUUCUUCCUACGCUUCAUAGUAUUUAUCCGAGGUUCAGGCUGCUGGAGGCCAAGCUAUUUGGUGCAGCGAAAAACAUUUAUAUAAAUACUACUAUCGCAUUGCCUACUCAUUAUAGUCACUUGAUGACCUAUUUUAGGGUUGACAAGGGGGCCAGCUCCUAUAAUUCUCAACUACUCAAGUAACAUUGCCGCUAAACCAACGACCAGAUUCGAAGUAACACUUUGUUUAUGGCCUUCAUCGAAAGGAAGAAGAUCAUACAUUCACCUUACUUAUUAUACAUUCCGCAACCUAUGAAAAAAAAAAAUUCGAACGGCUUUGUAACGGACAAGCAAAUUUUGAAUAAAAGUGUAAUAUUUUAUUUGACAAUUAUAUUUGUUAAUUUCUAACGAAUUGUUGUAAUUGUCAUUUAGAAGUUUAAUAUGGAUAGAAAAAAAAUAAUUUAAAAUCGAGAAUUAGUAAUCUGUAAAUAAUAGAAAAUAAAUAAAUCAAGAAAAUUUGCUUUAGACAAUUUUUAAAUAAUUGAAAAGAAAAUUUAAAAUUGAAGAUAUAUUUAUGUAUGGUGAAGAAAGUUGAUAAUUCAGAAGAAAAUGUUAUAAGAGAGGUCAUGUUCCUUGGAAAAAACAGAGACCCUGAUUAAAUAGAGCAAAGUUUUGAUGAAUUCGUUUGAAUCAGUUGCAAAUAAACGAAAUUAUUGAUUCAUUAAGUGAAAGAUUGUCAUUUUUCAUGAUGCUCAUGCCUUUGUUAAACAUAUGUAGAGUUAUAUAUGAAAUACUACCCGACUAACUACAAUUAGUCAUGUUCGCACAAAAACUCAUGUGGCCUAUUUCGCUGUUUUUACCAUAACAAUUGUAACUACAUAAAGGUCUGCAGGCAGACUCUAAAUCAAAUAUGUAGAUUCAAGAUAUGGUUAGUAAAUAUGUUUGAAGUGUUAAUGUUUUCGAUUGUUGAAAUUUCCUUGCUUUAAAUGCGAAUCCUGUUUAAGAAUAUAUAAAAUGGUUAAAGGUGAUUAUGCAAUCAAAAUUAAAAUGAGAUAAAAAACAAAAGAUAGUUUAAAAUCUAAAAUACUUAAUUGAAAGAUAAUCUGUCAUUUCUAUACAUAAAUUUGUACAUUCGCUAUUUUUAUAUGUGUCACGGAAGAAGACAAAAUUUAGGCAGAAUAAUUUGAAAAUUGUUCAUACUGUUGGCGGUGAGAUUUAUUGAAUUAAUAUAUGUUCAAGAUAGUGUUCCAUUAGAAAUCUUCCUGCUCGUCUGGAUGAUCUUCUGAUUGAUUCCUUCCCUCCUGUGUGAUCAAUCUGAACAACCUGUGUUUACUGAAGUUCAUCCACCUAUUUUUUGGACCCUAACCUGCCUUAGUACCCUAUUUACUCCUGCUGCCCUAUACGGCCUGCCCAUUUGCUGGUGUGCCCCACCAGCUUGUUGAGAAAGGACUCAUCAACUUGAUUUGAUCCUAACAUAGCACAUGUUUCAAACUGUGGCAAAUUUGUAUUGUUGAGAAAAUACUCAGAAAAAAAUGUAAAACCCUAAAAUAUUAGUAUAAAUUGCUAAAAGCGCUCGCUCUUGCCAUUUAAAGAAACUUUCAUUCAUUGUGAGCCGGAUGAAUUCAUGCUCAAUUGCAUUCCAAAUCUCGCAGGUUGAUAGAUAGGAACUCCACGCCUUCAUUCAUGAUUUCCGAAACAGCUACGGGACAUAUUAUUUGGAUAAUAUUUCUAAGAAGUUCUCCGAUCCAUGAUCAAAACGGCAAAUCUGAAUCCUCCUCCAGCUAUCCAGUAAGUACAAUCAAGUUUCCGAUUUCCAGUUCCACUCCUUCUCUACUACCUUCUGACCCUUAAGGCGUUGGCACUGCUCUAGCACUAGCAUGGGUCCAGUAUUCGGAUCUCAGUAUUCUGGUCCCUCUCAGCAACGCAUGUCGUUUGAAGUUCCCACUCAAUUUGAAGUCAAGCUAAUGCUUCAUUCAUUUUGUUCACAUGGCAUCACUAGUGCCCAUACACCACAGAAAAAAUCGGUUAGUAUUACGGACUCCACGGUAACCAACCAGCUGUCUUUGCUCCGCUUUUAUAUAAAAAUUCCUCUAUUGCCUUUCUGGAGCCGUUAGGGUAAAUGCAUCAAAUGGUAUACAAUUAAGAGAAAAAUACUAGGUCAAUGAUAAUUUUAGUUUGCAAUUUAAUUGGAUAGUUAUUAAGUGGAAUUUUAGGGUCAAGGAAUAGGAUUUUGAAUAAGAAAAUUGUUCAUUCAAAUUUCAAAGAUGAAUUAAGUCCAUUUCCAUGACUGCGUAGAAUCCAAAGUUGGGUGUUUCGAAUUAGCAUAUAUGGCCACCUCCUCUUCUGAGCAUCAGUCCAACGUUUUCGUCAUGCCCUGACUUUGUGUAUUGUCUCCCCCGUUCCUCGAAAUUAUGGUCGCCGUGCAUGUUUAGUCGUACAAUCUUUGCACCUUUUCAGUUGAAAUAUGAAUGGGUUUCAUUUAGUCACCACAAAUUCUGCUUCUUCUAACGUCGUUCGGAAAGCGCUAGCAUCUUAAGGCGAUCAGAUGAUGUAUUGACGAUAGGGUCUCCUUCAAUGCCUUAAAAUUAAGGGUCUUCGUCCAACCUGGUGCUGCCACACCCAGACAGGCAACAUCUUCCUCGCCGGUUUCGUCAUCAUAAUCAACGGAGCAACAACCGGUAUCCGGUCUAGGCCUGCCUCAGAAAGGAACUCCAGGCCGCGGUUUUGCGCCAAAGUCCACCAAUUCGAUAUCUCCAAGAACUGUCUAGCGCACGGAACCUCUUUCCACAUAUGAAGCUCACUUUGUAUUCCGCCAGCUCUAAUCCUGGUGAUAUUAACCAUUCCGAUUUCCCACAAGCUCAGAUAACAUCCGCAAGUUGUUUGUUUACUACCAAAAUUGCGAUGUUGUCAUUAUAGCCAAUAAGGGUAGUUUUUUCGCGGUAAUUUGAUCCAUAGCUCAUGGUCGUACACUGCAUUCCAGAACAGUUGACCCAAUGCUGAUCCUUGAGGCAUUCGCCGGUUGUCAAAUACUCAAAUGAGCCUGUGGGUUUCUAUCCACCAAAUAAUCCUCGAAGCCGGUUGAUUAUAUAUACAUGGUCUGCUUUGAAAGUAAUAGGAUUCGUUUUUUUUUAAAUGUAGUAUGGGAAAUCGGGGGUGUAGGCGACUGAAGUAGCAUUGUCACCUUGUGCUGGACAACAAACUCCACUACGCCGAAUGCUGUAUGGCUUUGCGCGUUGUCAUGGUGCAGCCGUCCAUUGUUGGCCACGACUGGGCAGACAUGAACAUUGUCUUUUCGCAGUCUUGUGAGGAGUUCCACGUAAAAAACUGCAUUAACUGUUUUUCCGAGUGGUACCAACUUUUUGUAAAUGAGUCCACGUCGAUUGAAAAGCUAAUGAGCACUGACUUUGUUUGAAUUUACUCAAUCGUGUUUUAAGGGAGCGGUUCUUUGGGUCAUACUUAAGCACCUAUGCCUACAUUGUCUAAAACGUUGGGUCCUCAUCCUGACGAUUGAGAAGAUCCUGGCCACCAACUUUGCACACAAUUUACUCAUAGGUAACUUUUUUUUUACGAUCUCAAAAAUUUGAGUUUGAGGGAAGUUAUCAGCAAUCACUUUGACACUCAUCUUAUGAUCACUGUUAGCGAAUCUUCCACUCGCGACAAGUUUUCGUUGCCCUUGCUGGUCAAACUGCGUUCGGAGCGGUCAUCGGACGACGGUAUCACUGUAGGCUUUCAUAAUCAUAUCGUUAGGUUUACCAAGCUUCAUGUAAAAUUUGAUCUUGUAUCAUUGCACCAUGAUUCUCCGUGACGGAUAAUUCAACGGCUGAGAACCAAUUGCCGAUUUCUCCCAACGUUCCCAAUAUCCACCUUCACAGAUCCUGGGCGAGCAGACUGCUUCUCGUCCGCCCAUUUGCCAGGAAAACCCAGUCCUGCUACUUCCUGAACACACCCUGUAGGUGGGCAUAAUCAGCCGGUUUAGGGAUGUUAUCAGCAUUCCUCAUAUCAAUAUUGAUGAUUGCACGACAUUUUCUGGUAUUGUCCUGCCAUUGCUUCUUCUGGUAGGUUGAUCACUGCAUUGUAUGCAUCAGCUGUUCAUCGAGCGGCGUUAAAAUCGUACUGUUGUUUAGAAGUCCUUCCUAUCUUCUCUAGAAUUGGAAAUAUCCUGUUUCAUAUAAUGCGUUCCAGAAGCUUUCCAAACUGCCCAGUAAAUAAAUGGGGUGGCACGAGGACGGCUUAUCAAGUGGUUUGCCACUCUAUGGUAGCAUCACCAGCAUCUGUAUUUUCAUCUGUUGUUGGUGCUUUAUUGGCCCCUAAUGGCAGCUUAUGUUAUAGCUGGAAUAACCUUUGGAGGAUGCUCUCUGUCGGUCAGAAUAGUCCAUCUGCUCUACCUGCGCAAUAAAAAUGAACACUUAAUCUGCAGGACUUUGUCUGUUUUCAGUUUUGCCAGUACUUCUCUGUAGGCGUGCUCUCUACGGGUAUAUGUUAGCCCCUUCGUUCCUUAUCGUUUAUUUUGCUCGCCUUCAUGGAUUGUCCUUGGCGAAUUUCUAGUGCAAGCUUUGUAUGUCCCUUUGUUUAACAACCUGCUUUCCUUUAUGCGUUGGUAAUUCCUCCUUGCAUUGCAUUUAGCAGGUGAUGCGACUUUUAAUUUUUUUCAAGGUUUUGGUAGUCUGUGGACAUUAUUUCUGCAUUCCUGACAAUUUAUUCACAUUCUUCUUCUCUAGCAUCUAUUGGCCCGGAAUUUCCAUAGUUUAGCCUGUUGGCCACUAUGUAUAUAGUGGCAUUUCCCUCUCCUGCGUCCUGUUUACAAAAGUAAUAUCUACCACUGAGCCUAGCCACCCUUUGGGGAAGUUGUAGGCGUUUCCGAUAUUAGCAAAUGCAAUGUCAAGCAACGAGAGGACUUCCAGCAGUGUCAGUCCUCUUUUGUUUGAAAGUUUACUCCCUCACUGAUACAAUGACAAUAGGGUUCGUGUGAGUGUGCCUAUAUAACGACUUGGUGACAAGUGAUGAUCCUAGAUGGUCGAAGUUAAUUAAGAAGGCAGAGUUAUUUUAAAAAUCUAAAAAAGGAGGCGAAAACAACCAUCAAAGUCCGUCCACAAUUAAUGUAGUUUGCCUGAAAUACCUGUCUAUACGCGUUUGCAAGUUACUGUGCUAGUUAGGCUCGGGAAUGUGGAGGGCACUUUUGAACACCUCAGUUCCUUUUACGUGAUUAUCAAGUAUUUCACAUGUGUUUUAAUCCGAUAAUACGAAUUGCAUUGGAAUCUGAAUCACAAAAUAACGAUGACGCGUGGAGUCCAAACUGCAGCGGAUCCAAAGCUGAAAGUGGGAAAACAAAAAAUUACUGGUUUGACCAUGGUCCUUCUUUGCUCGUAAUCUGCGCUUAGUCAAGCAUAGCAAAUAUAAGCAUGAAAGCCGUUUGGCUUACAAAUCUAUUGGGAGGUGUUUCCUCGAAUGAUUACCUUCCAGUCGUCCAAGGUCUUUCACUUUUAUAAUCGGUCCAUACUUUUUCUUUGUAGUUUUUAGACUGGUCCUAGAGAUCGUGACCAGCCGCAUAGUGGCUCAGAUUUGUCUGAAUAAACCUCAUUGGCACCUUGCUUUUGAAUCUCAUUGUCAGUGUCCUUUCUGCAUGACAUUGCCAUGUGUCCUUUUUUGACGCACCGUUUGCAUCGAUCAGAUUUAUUGCCCUUACUCUUGCAAGAUUUGUGUCUUUUGCAUUCUGCCGUUCUUCACUUGACUGCCAGCUUCCAGCAACUUGUUUGCUCAUACAGUCAUCAAACCUAUGAUUGCCUGUGGCGUGCCGUCAUUUGCUUUGCUUCAUAUAUCCUCUUGCGCUGUAGUCUCGUCGAGGUCCCUGCACGGCAUAGUUAUUUCGUGGUUCAAUUGCCUCAGCAUGACGCCCUUUCCUAAGAAUUUCCCUUUUGCCGUCUCCCCAGAUUCUUGUGAUAUUGCCACCUAAGCGACUUAGGGUCAGAUCUCCCUUGAUUUUCCGCAAAAUUUUAGUAUAGGAUAGGUCACUCUUGUUUUCGAUAAAAAUCGCGUCCAGACGGAAUUUCUUCAAUUGGGUUUGACUUGUUUCUUUGAUAUAACAAUUGUGCAAGCGUUUCUUCCCAUUUUCUGGGAUUCCAGUUGUGAACCAGAUUGAAGUUUCAAACUUUGGGCUCACCCCCGCCAAUCCUGCCUUUUUUAAAGUUUUGUACGUUUUUGAUGUUGGAACCUUUGCUGGAAUGUCUUUUAGCACUUUAUGCCUCCUUUAGCUUACUCCUUUGGGCUUGUUUCCUAUACUCGCAGUAGUGCUUUUCUCGCUGUCUCAGUAGCUUGAAAAUUCAAUAGAUAAUCUCAUUGCCAAUUACUAUAAACCAGUCUAACCAUUACUCUAUAUAUGUACACCCAACCACAAAUAUCAGACGUAACUGAAACAAUCCUUAAAAAAGUACCCUUUUCCUAGCGCUUUUACUGUAUUGAGUAGUUUGAUUAGUAAAAAUUAGCUUCGAAUUUCAAACCAAAAAAAAACCUAAAACAUUUUUACUCUAUCUAGAUUUUCAGUGUGAUAAACAUAAAUGUAGCGCUUCUAGAGAAAAAAAUCCUCUAUUUUCUAAAACAUGUGGAACGCUUAAAAAUCACCAAAAAAAAAAAAAAUCCUGAGACCAAAAAACUAUUUAGCUUUUUCUAAAUUUAAUAAUUAAAUACACGAAACUGGUAGACGAACGUUCAAAAAAUGGAAAACAAAAUACAAAAAAAAAAUUGUAAAGUAGGAAAGCGAUAAACCAUGAAUUAGAAUGGAUUAAACUAAAAAUAAAAUCAAAGAUCAAAUAGAAAUGCAAUGGAUAUUUUUCUUACCGAACAAAACUGUAUGUUUUAUAUAUUUUGGAAUGGAGAAAACACAAAACCCGACAUCUCUGAAAAUAUAUUGCAUUUACAGCAUUCUAAUAGCGAUUGUAUAUUUUUUAACAAUAAAUGUUGAGUUUUUGUUGAUAUUAUAGAUGAUUUUUAAGAAAUGAAAGUUUUAAAUAAAAUGUUGAAGAAAAACUAGUUGAUGAAAUAGUAGAAAC